This is a non-coding RNA of Mycena vulgaris, 93 nucleotides long. The record is from the annotation of a GenBank genome assembly. Lineage: Eukaryota; Fungi; Basidiomycota; Agaricomycetes; Agaricales; Mycenaceae.
UCAGACAUGGUGUACUGGGAACACUGCCUCUCUUCUUGACACUCUUGGUCUAUGUGAAAGAGGCAGUCCAGGGUUCGAAUCUCUGUGUCUGAA